GUUGACCUCGGAUCAGGUAGGGAUACCCGCUGAACUUAAGCAUAUCAAUAAGCGGAGGAAAAGAAACCAACAGGGAUUGCCCCAGUAACGGCGAGUGAAGCGGCAAGAGCUCAAAUUUGAAAGCUGGCUCCUUCGGGGUCCGCAUUGUAAUUUGCAGAGGAUGCUUCGGGAGCGGUCCCCAUCUAAGUGCCCUGGAACGGGACGUCAUAGAGGGUGAGAAUCCCGUAUGGGAUGGGGUGUCCGCGCCCGUGUGAAGCUCCUUCGACGAGUCGAGUUGUUUGGGAAUGCAGCUCUAAAUGGGUGGUAAAUUUCAUCUAAAGCUAAAUAUUGGCCGGAGACCGAUAGCGCACAAGUAGAGUGAUCGAAAGAUGAAAAGCACUUUGAAAAGAGAGUUAAAAAGCACGUGAAAUUGUUGAAAGGGAAGCGCUUGCGACCAGACUCGCUCGC
RNAcentral lists this ribosomal RNA (447 nucleotides) under Penicillium sp. RNAcentral describes it as "partial 28S ribosomal RNA". It matches the Rfam family "Eukaryotic large subunit ribosomal RNA", at positions 1 to 442 of the family's 3401-position model. Lineage: Eukaryota; Fungi; Ascomycota; Eurotiomycetes; Eurotiales; Aspergillaceae. The record is from RNAcentral.